This 67-nucleotide transfer RNA is filed under the name Tadarida latouchei (La Touche's free-tailed bat). RNAcentral's name for it is "tRNA-Tyr". It matches the Rfam family "tRNA". Rfam says of the family: Transfer RNA (tRNA) molecules are approximately 80 nucleotides in length. Their secondary structure includes four short double-helical elements and three loops (D, anti-codon, and T loops). The record is from RNAcentral. Lineage: Eukaryota; Metazoa; Chordata; Mammalia; Chiroptera; Molossidae.
GGUAAGGUGGCUGAUUAAGCAUUAGACUGUAAAUCUAAAGAUAGAGGUUUGAGUCCUCUUCUUACCA